Long non-coding RNA from Myotis brandtii (Brandt's bat), 798 nucleotides. RefSeq lists it as uncharacterized. The record is from RefSeq and is a predicted model, not a curated record. Lineage: Eukaryota; Metazoa; Chordata; Mammalia; Chiroptera; Vespertilionidae. The transcript is spliced from 2 exons.
AACUGCCUGGGUUGCAGCCCAGCCCCAUUAUAUCAGAACUGGUGGGGGUGGGGCCUAGACAUCAGUGUUUGUUUAAAGAUCCCGGAUGACUCCGAUGUCCAGUCCUGGCCACAGCCAGGGCGGCCCUGACUGAUCUCAGACCAUCUUCAAACAGCCCCCUGUCUGAACUCAGGUAAGUUACUGGAAUUGCAGUUCUUUGGUCUGCUUUCCACCACGGGAAGAUCCAGCUUCCCCUGUCCCAGAGGAACCUCUGCCAUCUGGCCUCUGCCCACCUCGCCAGUCUCUCCUGGACCCCGCCCUUCUCUCCCAUGGCCCUUCCGUUCUUUUCUGGCCCUUAAAUACAUCCUUCCUUCCAGAACCUCUGCACCUGUAGUCUCCUUUGCCUCCUUCUGAUAGCAUAUUCUUUCCCCAGGUCCUCCCACAUCCGACUUACCAUGCAGGCCUGAGGAGAAGGCCUUCUGUGACAAGCCGUCUCUAACCUCGCCUGGUGGCUGCCAUCUCAUUACUGCAUUGUUUCCAGUGUAGCAGGUCCCGCAUGAAGUCAUCUUGUUUGUCUACUUCAGAGCUGCCAACUGAAUGUGCCCGCGCUAGACUGUUGGCUGAUGUGAGAGACACAUGGACUCACCAUUGCCCCAGAUGACAGCCAGCCAGCUUCCAAAGCAGAGCUCCCUGGUGACUUGGCAGCUGAUCUUAGACGCAUGAGCGUGCCCAGCCAGGACCAGCGGAAGAAUUGCCCAGCUGGUCCCAGUCUAAAUUGCUACCUCUUGAAUUGUGAGUUACAAAUAAAUGGUAGUUGUA